Molecule: ribosomal RNA, 140 nt
Filed under: uncultured bacterium
Lineage: Bacteria
Description: partial 16S ribosomal RNA
Rfam family: Bacterial small subunit ribosomal RNA
Source: RNAcentral
UGGGUAACCUGCCUCAAAGAGGGGAAUAGCCUCCCGAAAGGGAGAUUAAUACCGCAUAAUAUGUUUAAGUCGCAUGACUUUAACAUCAAAGGAUUUUCUUUUAGAAAUUCCACUUUGAGAUGGACCCGCGGCGCAUUAGU